GAUGAACGCUGGCGGCGUGCCUAAUACAUGCAAGUCGAGCGAACAGACGAUGAGCUUGCUCCUCUGACGUUAGCGGCGGACGGGUGAGUAACACGUGUAUAACCUACCUAUAAGACUGGUAUAACUUCGGGAAACCGGAGCUAAUACCGGAUAAUAUAUUGAACCGCAUGGUUGAAUAGUGAAAGACGGUUGUGCUGUCACGUAUAGAUGGAUCCGCGCCGCAUUAGCUAGUUGGUAAGUUAACGGCUUACCAAGGCAACGAUGCGUAGCCGACCUGAGAGGGGGAUAGGCCACACUGGAGCUGAGACAGGGUCCAGAGUACUACGGGAGGGAGCAGAAGGGAAUCGUCCGCAACGGGCGAGAGCAUGACGGAGCAACGCCGAGUGAGUGAUGAAGGUCUUCGGAUCGUAAAGCUCUGUUAUUAGGGAAGAACAAAUGUGUAAGUAACUAUGCACGUCUUGACGGUAACUAAUCAGAAAGCCACGGCUAACUACGUG
This 497-nucleotide ribosomal RNA is filed under the name uncultured bacterium. Its description in RNAcentral is "partial 16S ribosomal RNA". It matches the Rfam family "Bacterial small subunit ribosomal RNA", at positions 28 to 507 of the family's 1533-position model. The record is from RNAcentral.